ACAGCAGCAGCCGCGGUAAUACGGAGGGUGCAAGCGUUAAUCGGAAUUACUGGGCGUAAAGCGCACGCAGGCGGUCUGACAAGUCAGAUGUGAAAUCCCCGGGCUUAACCUGGGAACUGCAUUUGAAACUGUCAGGCUGGAGUCUUGUAGAGGGGGGUGGAAUUCCAGGUGUAGCGGUGAAAUGCGUAGAGAUCUGGAGGAAUACCGGUGGCGAAGGCGGCCCCCUGGACAAAGACUGACGCUCAGGUGCGAAAGCGUGGGGAGCAAACAGGAUUAGAUACCCGUGUAGUCCCUGUCUCUUAUAC
RNAcentral lists this ribosomal RNA (305 nucleotides) under uncultured bacterium. Its description in RNAcentral is "partial 16S ribosomal RNA". It matches the Rfam family "Bacterial small subunit ribosomal RNA", at positions 505 to 807 of the family's 1533-position model. The record is from RNAcentral.